RNAcentral lists this unclassified non-coding RNA (184 nucleotides) under fungal sp. Its description in RNAcentral is "partial internal transcribed spacer region". The stretch from base 1 to 46 matches the Rfam family "Eukaryotic small subunit ribosomal RNA", at positions 1786 to 1831 of the family's 1831-position model. The record is from RNAcentral. Lineage: Eukaryota; Fungi.
AAGUCGUAACAAGGUUUCCGUAGGUGAACCUGCGGAAGGAUCAUUAUUGUACUUAAGGUCACCAAUUUUUUAAAUAGGAGCAAAAAGUAUAUUUAAAACCCCCACACUUUUGAAAAAAUUUUUAUGUAUAUUUUACUAUAAGUAAAUUAUAAGAUCACUUUCAACAACGGAUCUCUUGGCUCUC